This is a non-coding RNA of Phrynosoma platyrhinos (Desert horned lizard), 72 nucleotides long. The record is from the annotation of a GenBank genome assembly. NCBI's taxonomy places the organism in Eukaryota, Metazoa, Chordata, Lepidosauria, Squamata, Phrynosomatidae.
GCUAGCAUGGUGUAGUGGUUUGAGCCCUGGACUAUGACUCUGGAGACCAGGGUUCAAAUCUCUGCUCGGCCA